ACGGAAGGCAGCAGUGGGGAAUAUUGCACAAUGGGGGAAACCCUGAUGCAGCGACGCCGCGUGAGUGAAGAAGUUAUUCGUAAUGUAAAGCUCUAUCAGCAGGGAAGAAAAUGACGGUACCUGGCUAAGAAGCCCCGGCUAACUACGUGCCAGCAGCCGCGGUAAUACGUAGGGGGCAAGCGUUAUCCGGAUUUACUGGGUGUAAAGGGAGCGUAGACGGUCUGGCAAGUCUGAUGUGAAAGGCAGGGGCUCAACUCCUGGACUGCAUUGGAAACUGUCAGUCUUGAGUGUCGGAGAGGUAAGCGGAAUUCCUAGUGUAGCGGUGAAAUGCGUAGAUAUUAGGAGGAACACCAGUGGCGAAGGCGGCUUACUGGACGAUAACUGACGUUGAGGCUCGAAAGCGUGGGGAGCAAACAGGAUUAGAUACCCUGGUA
RNAcentral lists this ribosomal RNA (434 nucleotides) under uncultured Lachnospiraceae bacterium. Its description in RNAcentral is "bacterial SSU rRNA". It matches the Rfam family "Bacterial small subunit ribosomal RNA", at positions 341 to 792 of the family's 1533-position model. The record is from RNAcentral. Lineage: Bacteria; Bacillati; Bacillota; Clostridia; Lachnospirales; Lachnospiraceae.